AAAAAAAAAACAAAACAAAAAAAAAAACAAAAAAAAAAAAAAGAAUUUUUAAAUGCGAAAAAAUAUUACUCCAUAUUAAUUAAACUGAAAACAUAAUUAUAUAUUUUGAAUUAUUUGCAGAAUCGCAUACUUGUUAUGUAUUAUUAUUUAAUAGUAGUAGAAAAAAGAAAAAAAGAAAUUAACAAAUUGAUUACGAAAAAAGUAACAGAAAUGAUAUGAUAAAAAACAUGAAUGGAGUUAUAUGUGACACAAUAUACAUUAUAGAAAAUGAAAUAAAUAUAUAUAAUGACAAAGACAUAAAAUUUGAAGAAUUUAGUAACUCAUGUACUACGCAUAAUAAUAAAUUUAAUAAUUUAGUCCAUUUAAUAUGUAAAGUUAAAAAUGUUAGAAAACAUGGGAGAAUGUUAUAUUUUUAUGAUACGAUUACUAUAAAAGAUAAGGAUAAUGACAGUAAUAAUUUAAUUUUUUUUAAAAAUCAUUGUUUAAUUAAUAAUAAUAAAAAUAAUAUAAAUAGUAAUAAAGAGAUUGGUGAGGGUGUUAAAAAGGAAAAAAUUUAUGUAAUUAAAAAUAAAGUUGAUAAACAAAUUAUUGCAGGAAAUAGUAACAUUCAGUUAGUAGUUCAUAAACAAUUUUACGCUGAUGAUGAAAAAUUUAAUUUAUACCAACAACAUUUAAUAUUGAGUAAAACAUAUGAAGAAAAAUAUAAAAAUGAAAAGGAAAUAUCAUUAAACAUGAGUCCUUGGUAUUACUCAAUAAAUUUAUGUAAGCAGUAUUAUAGAGAUUUAAAAGAAGAAAAAAGUAUUGAGCAUAUUAAAGAAAGUUGUAUUGAGAAAAGUGAAGUAAAUGAAGUAAACGAAGUAAAUGAAGUAAAGGAUGGUGAUAAUAAUAUAUCGUUAUUAUUACUGAAUGAAUAUAUAAAAUUUGAGAUUAUAAAUAAAAUUAUUAAAACAGACACAUUAGUAUACAUCAUUGGAUUGCCCGUUUUAACAAAUACACAAGAAAAAUCGAUAUUAGUAUUUGCUUCUUAUUUGUUACAAGUAAAUUACGAAUAUUUUAAUAUUAACCAAGUUUUAAAUUUGUUUGAAAAUAAUUAUUUUUCUAUGCUUACACUAUGCAAAAGUUUACGUGUUCAUGAUGCGUAUAUUUACAAUAUGUAUAAUAAACAAGAGGAGAACAAAAAAAAAAAACAGAUAAUGGAUAUUGUAUAUAAGAAUAAGGAUUAUACAAGUGUAAGUAAUCAAAAAAUGAAUAAUUUUGAAAUUUUUAUAAUAAAAAUAAUUAAUGUUUUACCAAAAUUAUUUGAAAUACAAGCAAGUGAUUUUAAAUAUGACA
This 1332-nucleotide long non-coding RNA is filed under the name Piliocolobus tephrosceles (Ugandan red Colobus). RNAcentral describes it as "lncRNA (ENSPTEG00000007349.1)". The record is from RNAcentral. Lineage: Eukaryota; Metazoa; Chordata; Mammalia; Primates; Cercopithecidae.